Molecule: long non-coding RNA, 320 nt
Organism: Nymphaea colorata (pocket water lily)
Lineage: Eukaryota; Viridiplantae; Streptophyta; Magnoliopsida; Nymphaeales; Nymphaeaceae
Exons: 3
Source: RefSeq, a predicted model, not a curated record
GAAAUUUCACCUAUUGUAGAGUUCAACAUAUUAUCUUGGUGGAAGACAAAUGAAAGCAAAUAUAAAAUUCUAGCAAAGAUGGCUCGAGAUGUGUUAGCUAUUCCUGUAUCUACAGUUGCUUCAGAAUCUGCAUUUAGUACAUCAUGAAGAAUUAUUAAUGAUUAUCGAUAUUCAACUACGUCUGAAAAUGUAGAAUCAUUAAUCUGCACACAAAGUUGGAUUCGUGAUGCAAACAACUUGUGUGAAAGUUCUUAUGAUGCAGAGCACCGUUUUGACGAGGAAUGUUAAUCGAGUGCAUGCUUAUUAUGAUGGACAUUUCA